This 28-nucleotide non-coding RNA is filed under the name Mus musculus (house mouse). The record is from RNAcentral. Lineage: Eukaryota; Metazoa; Chordata; Mammalia; Rodentia; Muridae.
UGGCCUCGAACUCAGAAAUCUGCUUGCC